RNAcentral lists this non-coding RNA (28 nucleotides) under Cricetulus griseus (Chinese hamster). Lineage: Eukaryota; Metazoa; Chordata; Mammalia; Rodentia; Cricetidae. The record is from RNAcentral.
UGUGUGAUGAGCUGGUGGAGGAGAUGGA